GGAAUAUUGUUGCAAUUUGCGUGUAUGAGCUCACAAUUCAUCACCAAAAUAAUCUGAUAGCUCCCAAUGAAAAAUAAAAAUAAUUUAAUAGAAAAUUAAGGUCCUAAAAUAUAUAGUUCUUAAUGUAUUUUUCUCAGAAAUUGGAAGGGAAAUAUCAUUUGGAAAUUCCUGGCUGGUAGAUGUUGAAUCUUCAGACAGGAAACGGAAUUUCUCAAGUGCUUAGAUUGUUUCAUAUUAUGUUUUAGAACUUGAGCUUGGUCACUUUGCACUGAUCAUGUCCACAUCUGCAUAGAGCCAACACUCCGAGCAGCAACAGUUACUAAUUAAACUACUUCCGUAGGCUCAUCUGUUGGGAUUCUGGAAGCACAUACCAUAACCUUGGCCUUCUUGGCCUGAGAGAAAUACAGAAAAUUAGAACAAAAAUCCAUUCAUGUGGUUAACUUAUAGAUGGCCUUAAAAGGAAAGACAUAUAUUUAUGUACUUCCUGCUCCCAAUUAGCGUGCAUAGUAAUGGCUAAAAGCAAAACAGCUUGUAUAGAACUACCACAUAUGAUUCCCAUCCAAAGUCCCUUUCCUCCUAAGUGGAAGAAAAAAGUCAGAACUAUAGCAGAAGGUAGGCCUACAACGUAGUAAGCUCCUAAGUUUACACAUGCACCAAUCUUUUGCCACCCACAACCUCUAGCAGUACCUACGUUUUGGCAAAGACGUCAUGUUUUAAAAGAUAUAUUUUUGAAGUAUUCAUCCAGACAUGAAAUGUCCAAAUAGUUUUUCCAGUGUUGAACCUGAGAGCACAGUCUGUAUCCCAUCCAUGAAGUUGGAUAAUGCAAGCAAUGGCGCUACAGAUGCCAAAUAUCUUACAACUUCCUUUUCAUUAGUGUACAAGAAACCCCAAAAAUCCCUAACUGCAACUAGAAGUAAGCUUAGUGAUAAAUUCUCUAUAAGUGCCAAGAAAAUUACAAUCUGUACUGCCAAAUGUGCAGCAUGAGGUCUCCCAGAGCCUAACUCAUUUGAAACUCUUGUGCUUUAAGCAAGAAAAAGAAAGAAACAGGAAAAGGAAAUCAUAAUAUAUCAACAAAUUGCUGCUAAUCAGGCAAAGACUAACAUGUCCUAGUGUACUUACCUCACAGCACUACCGAGGCCAAAGGGGAUUCUGAAUACCACAGAACUCGUAUUCAAGCUGCAGAAUUGUGACUAUGUUAGAGAAUUGGAAAUGGAAUUCAAUAUGUUCUUAUAAUAUAUGGCAAAAGAAACCCCUUCAAAAUAUUUUAAUUUUUAGACUUUCUUUUAUUGUCAACGAUGCAUAAGUGAAUAGAAAAUUACGUGCCAAUAAAGUGCUCAAACCUGAUGCUCAUCAUUGACAAUUCUAGUUUCGGAUUUGGAAGUAGACCUGACAUAAUAACUAAAAACUCAUACGACCAGAGUUCCAAGCUGAUACAUAUAACAUAAAUAGACAAAAAUAUAUUGUGAAGAAUAUAAUGAGAGAGACAAAUCAAAAUGAAAGUUCUAGAAUUUUAAGAAAAAUUGAACUCACCAAACCAUUAGAGCUGAAGGUAUUCCCAAUUUAAGAAAACUAAGCAGAUUUUUGGUUCCUGCCCUGGAGAAACCUGUCCAAGUAUUUUGGCAUGUUGGAGAAAAUUUGACAUAGAUAGCUAAAAUGAGCACAUUGGUCCAGUAAGAGAUUGCAAUAGACAGGGCAGCCCCUUCAUUGCCAAAGCCGAAUCUAAAGAUGAAUGUCCAGCAAAUGAGAAGAUGGACCAAACUUGUGAUGCCAGUACUUAACACCAAUGGCCAAACAAUGUUCUGGGUUUGUAGGAAUCUAAGCUGGCACUGAAGAAGACCAUAUGGAACAAUGGCAGGGAUCAACCACCGUGCAUAGAUUCCUGAGUGGAUUGAAAUUUGUGGGUCUUGCUUGAGGCUUAUGAAAAUCUGGCCUGUGAAGUGCCAAAUCAAUGAUAUAGGGAUGCUUGUAAGUACAAGAACUAGCAUAGCUCUUUGCAUGUACACACCCAGCAUAUGGUACUGUUGUGCUCCGUAGGCUUGCCCACAGAAUGUCUCUAGUGCACUUCCCAUUCCCAGCAUGAAACCAAAACCAGUAACUCCCGCAAAUGAAGUAGCCAUUGAAGCACUUGAAAGAGACAGCUCUCCGAGACGGCCUACAAACAUGACCGAGAUCAUCUGUAGACUGUAUUGCAAGAAACUGACAAAAAUUAGAGGUCCUGCCAAGCUCAUUUGUUUCUUGAGUUCAGUGAUUAUCUCAGUUUUGUCAUAGCUUUUUUUGGCAGGAUGAGUAGCAGUUUCAGAGUUAGAAAUCAAUGGGGAUUCAGGAGAAUUGUUGAAGGCUACUUGAUCCAUCCAGUUGCUAUGAUCUCUCUUGCUUGAAAUCUCAGGAUGUGCACGUAAUCGAGGAAGAAGGCUAUUAAAUU
RNAcentral lists this unclassified non-coding RNA (2422 nucleotides) under Hevea brasiliensis (rubber tree). Lineage: Eukaryota; Viridiplantae; Streptophyta; Magnoliopsida; Malpighiales; Euphorbiaceae. The record is from RNAcentral.